This 490-nucleotide ribosomal RNA is filed under the name Gryllidae gen. 2 sp. 5 JD-2021b. Its description in RNAcentral is "partial large subunit ribosomal RNA". Lineage: Eukaryota; Metazoa; Arthropoda; Insecta; Orthoptera; Gryllidae. The record is from RNAcentral.
CUUCUUGAAUUAAUGUGAAGUCGGGCCUGUCCACUGAAUUUAUUUGAAGGGCCGCGGUAUUUUGACCGUGCAAAGGUAGCAUAAUCAUUAGUCUUUUAAUUGGAGGCUGGAAUAAAUGGUUUGACGAAAUAAUAUCUGUCUCUAAUAUAAUUAAAUUGAAUUUUACUUUUAAGUUAAAAGGCUUAAAUGUUAAUAAGGGACGAGAAGACCCUAUAGAUCUUUAUAAUAUAAAUUAUAUUAUUAAUUUUAGUUAUUUAUUUUAUUUUAUGAUUUAUAUUAUUUUAUUGGGGUGAUAUGAGAAUAUUUUAACUUCUUAGUUUUUAACUUUAAUAAAUGGUUAAUUGAUCCUUUAAUAUGGAAUUAAGAUUAAGAUACCUUAGGGAUAACAGCGUAAUCUUAUUGAAGAGUUCUUAUUGAUAAUAAGGAUUGCGACCUCGAUGUUGGAUUAAGGAUAUAUGUUGGUGUAGRAGCUAAUGUUAUUGGUCUGUUC